This 253-nucleotide ribosomal RNA is filed under the name uncultured bacterium. RNAcentral's name for it is "partial 16S ribosomal RNA". It matches the Rfam family "Bacterial small subunit ribosomal RNA", at positions 524 to 776 of the family's 1533-position model. The record is from RNAcentral.
UACGUAGGGUGCGAGCGUUAAUCGGAAUUACUGGGCGUAAAGCGUGCGCAGGCGGUUCGUUGUGUCCGAUGUGAAAGCCCCGGGCUUAACCUGGGAAUGGCAUUGGAAACUGGCGAGCUUGAGUGCGGCAGAGGGGGGUGGAAUUCCGUGUGUAGCGGUGAAAUGCGUAGAUAUACGGAGGAACACCCGUAGCGAAGGCGGCACUCUGGGCCGGUACUGACGCUGAGGAGCGAAAGCGUGGGGAGCAAACAGG